RNAcentral lists this ribosomal RNA (271 nucleotides) under uncultured bacterium. Its description in RNAcentral is "partial 16S ribosomal RNA". It matches the Rfam family "Bacterial small subunit ribosomal RNA", at positions 524 to 794 of the family's 1533-position model. The record is from RNAcentral.
UACGUAGGGCGCAAGCGUUGUCCGGAAUUAUUGGGCGUAAAGAGCUCGUAGGCGGCUUGUCACGUCGGAUGUGAAAGCCCGAGGCUUAACCUCGGGUCUGCAUUCGAUACGGGCUAGCUAGAGUGUGGUAGGGGAGAUCGGAAUUCCUGGUGUAGCGGUGAAAUGCGCAGAUAUCAGGAGGAACACCGGUGGCGAAGGCGGAUCUCUGGGCCAUUACUGACGCUGAGGAGCGAAAGCGUGGGGAGCGAACAGGAUUAGAAACCCGUGUAGU